CGGCGGCGGCGGCGGGAGCGGGGCGGCGGGAGCGCAGGCGGGCCCCGCCGCCCCCCGUCACCCUCCAGGAGCAGGUGAGCCACUGACUAACGCACAUUGUGCUCUCGGCGACUCCACUGUGCGUGUGACAGCGGCUAACCUGCUCCUCGGACAUCGCUGUGCGGCCGCCUUGCCUCCACGGACCGGCGCCUCGACGCCUCGACGCCCGCCUCCCCUCCCGGCCGCCCCGGAGAGGGGCUCUGCUGUGCCAAGGAGUCGGCGUCCCCCAUCCAGCGCCACUGUCCCGUCUCCAGCGGCUCCCUGUUCUCAGCGCCGUGGACCCCCGACGUGCCGUGGGUAGCGCCCCGCGAUCGGCCGCACUGCGCAGGGGAGCGUGAAAAGAUGGAACACUUCUCGCAGCAGGGCUCGGUGUGUCCGGCGGGAACAGAGAUGAAGGGAACGGGCCGUGUCGGCAUGUGGGUGCAAAUAGUUGGCGGUAAAGUUGCUCAGGAGGGAUGGCAUGCCCCCCUCUUUCCUCCCCCGCUCUUCUCCAAAGCAAAUAAGUGCUAGUGGACUCCGUACCAAGUUAAAGAGACGCAUCAUCCCGUCGGGUGACGUCUUGAUACCCGGUCAGUGACUAACUGAACUGCUAUUGCCAAGGGUGUGUUAAUAGAAGAAACUCUGCCUAGUAUUGCCCCGGAUGAGUCACAUUUAAAGAGAGACUCUCUAAUCUGUUAAAUGAAAAGCAGAGACGAGCCUCACUUUCCUUUUUUGUUGCUGUUCCCAUCCCACCCUUCACCUUUGCUUGCUGCUUUCUGCUGCUUGUGCCAGGGCUGUAUUGGCGCCCCAGCCCUGGCUGGGCGUUUUCAGAGCUGCCUUGCAUGGUCGUGCUGUGAUGUCACGCAGGGACCUCUGACUUCAUGGCCCUGAGGAACAGGAAGGCGAGCCAGGCAGGGACUCUUCCAGUCACCCGGGGUGGCUGUCAUUAAAAAUGGAGGAAGUGACGAAGCAGAUGGCUUCUCCUACAAAGUUCUCUCUUGUGAUUUCUGGGCUGGUGAAGAAGCUGGGUAGUUGCAAAUUGUCUUUUGUGAAGAGCAGCACAGCUUUAUUGUCAGCUCAAGUUUCUAAUAACAGGCUAGGAUUCACUGCAGCCUGCCAAGGUUCCCUGAAAGGACUUGGGUUAUUCUCCCUCUUCCUUGGGCUGCUCGCAUGUAGCCCUUGACCGUUGUAAAAGCUUGAUCUGAAGGAAUUGGCCUGGUCAGUAAGUAGUUAAUUGCACAGAAGGCAGAGUAAUGUCUGAUACAUGGGUAAAGUCUCUCACUGAAAAAUUUUGCCUGUCCCCAUCGCUCCUGCCUGUUCUUUGUCAUUUCUCCCUCUGAGUCCCAGAGGAGCGUCUGCUCUUCCGCAAGAAAAAUCAGCUCCCUCUGUUGGCUGUGCAGACUGGGUGAGUCUGGGGUGCUCCAAGAGAGUCAGGAAAAUCAACUGAAUGUACCAGAGCUGCUUUCAUGCUUGUUCAGAAACGAAGUGGGCCUUUUUUUUUUUUUUUUUUAAUGGGGGCAGAGGAGGGGGUGGGGAGGGCAGGCAAGUUCACAGCUGUCUCAGCCCUGGAAUGCUUUUUUUCCUCCCUAGCUGCACCUACAGCAUCUUCCCACUGCCAGUCCCGAGCAGGCAGGAGCACAGUGUAGCCACGUGGAGAGUAGGGAGAGAGGGAAACCUGGUGCAAAAUCCACGUGUACAACUGUGUCUGAGAGCUGGAACUGCAGCCCACAGACCCCUACCACCCCAUUUUAUAGGUGACCACACACGUAGCAAACCUGUGUCUGAAAGUGAAGGUGCUCUGUUUCUCUUUGAAGAAAUAACCCUGUGUUUGGGACUGUGCUGCCUGAUGAGUAACCCCUGGAGAUGCCACUGGCAGAAGCAGCUCUGCAGGUCACCUGGCAAGACUUGUCCCAGUUCCCGUGAGCAGCACUGUGGUAUGAAUGUGUCCAGCUUCCUGCUACCUAUGGAACCAUCCUGUUCAGCUCCAGGCAAGGUAGAAUGCACUCAGUCUGUACUCUGAGACAGAAAGAAAAAUCAUCAUAGGAGAGCAGACAAUGCUCCCUGCAUGGACAUGCACACCAGUUCAAGCAGCUCUUCUCCAUCUGCAGUGAACUACCCUGGUAGAAGCUGUGCGCCUAGGAGCAGCAGAGCAUCUGGACACCACUUGGGGAGCAAAGCCAACAGGCAUUUUCUCCUCCAGACAUUCACACCUUUCCUUAUGUAACUGGAGCUGAAGUGUGUGCUUUAAAAGCUGCUUGCCAAAUUCAGGGGCUGGGAGGCAGCACAAGCACUUCUACUACUCUAGAUGAAAUUUAGGGGAAAAAAAAUCCAAACCCAAACACUGAGGAGCUCGUACAAAUUGGUGACUGCGAACUGGGGGUGGUAUAAGCGCCUUGAGAAACUCUACUGGCCUGGGGCAGUGCUGGCAGGCAGACCAUCUGCAAAGGAUGCAUGGCCUAAGGAGCUGACAGUCCAGAGUAGAUGGGUGAGGAAAUGGGGUCGAUUUUUAUAUUGCCAUUUUAAAAAAAGAAAAAAUUAAAAAUGGGGUAGUGCAGUGAAGAAAAGAGCUCCAGGGAAGCUGGAGGUGGCUGAAUUACUCUCCUGAAUGGUGCCUUGUGCUGACAGAGCCUGCAAAUU
Long non-coding RNA from Empidonax traillii (willow flycatcher), 2655 nucleotides. RefSeq lists it as uncharacterized. The record is from RefSeq and is a predicted model, not a curated record. The transcript is spliced from 3 exons. Lineage: Eukaryota; Metazoa; Chordata; Aves; Passeriformes; Tyrannidae.